CUACGGGGUGCUCCAGUGAGGAAUAUUGCACAAUGGAGGAAACUCUGAUGCAGCAACGCCGCGUGGAGGAUGACGCAUUUCGGUGUGUAAACUCCUUUUAUAUGUCAAGAAAAUGACGGUAGCAUAUGAAUAAGCACCGGCUAACUCCGUGCCAGCAGCCGCGGUAAUACGGAGGGUGCAAGCGUUGACUCGGAAUCACUGGGCGUAAAGGACGCGUAGGCGGGAUAUCAAGUCAGGUGUGAAAUCCUACAGCUUAACUGUAGAACUGCACUUGAAACUUCUAAUCUAGAGUAUGGGAGGGGGAGAAGGAAUUAGUGGUGUAGGGGUAAAAUCCGUAGAUAUCACUAGGAAUACCUAAAGCGAAGGCGAUCUCCUGGAACAUUACUGACGCUAAGGCGUGAAAGCGUGGGGAGCAAACAGGAUUAGAUACCCCAGUAGUC
Molecule: ribosomal RNA, 440 nt
Filed under: uncultured bacterium
Lineage: Bacteria
Description: partial 16S ribosomal RNA
Rfam family: Bacterial small subunit ribosomal RNA
Source: RNAcentral